This 497-nucleotide ribosomal RNA is filed under the name uncultured bacterium. RNAcentral's name for it is "partial 16S ribosomal RNA". It matches the Rfam family "Bacterial small subunit ribosomal RNA", at positions 28 to 507 of the family's 1533-position model. The record is from RNAcentral.
GAUGAACGCUGGCGGCGUGCCUAAUACAUGCAAGUCGAGCGAACGGACGAGAAGCUUGCUUCUCUGAUGUUAGCGGCGGACGGGUGAGUAACACGUGGAUAACCUACCUAUAAGACUGGGAUAACUUCGGGAAACCGGAGCUAAUACCGGAUAAUAUUUUGAACCGCAUGGUUCAAAAGUGAAAGACGGUCUUGCUGUCACUUAUAGAUGGAUCCGCGCUGCAUUAGCUAGUUGGUAAGGUAACGGCCUACCAAGGCAACGAUGCAUAGCCGACCUGAGAGGGGGGUAGGCCACACGAGAAGUGGGACGGCGACCAGACUCCUACGGUAGGCAGCAGUAGGGAAUCGUCCGCAAUAGGCGAAAGCCUUGCGCAGCAACGCGGCGUGAGUGAUGAAGGUCUUCGGAUCGUAAUACUCUGUUAUGAGGGAAGAACAGAUGUGGAAGGAACUGAGCACAGCUUGACGGUACCUAAUCAGAAAGCCCCGGCUAACUACGUG